UGCGCAUGUGCGGCACACGGAGCCACAGGAUGCAAAUGUAUUCUCGCCUAUUGGCUGAGAGGCGGCAGGUGUGCGCGUGCUAGUACCAGCCGGUGACAGUGAUGUAACACUAGUUACUACAUACACAGGAAUCAUGGGAAAGGCUGCGUACAGACGGGACUCCUCCUGCUGGGUUCUUCCAACUCAGAAGUUCUAAAACGCAGGUUUGCCUGAACGGUUGUUUCAGCUAACGUAACGCAUUAGGUCUGAACUUACUCAGCCCUUGUGAUAACUUCAGCCUGUCCGGUCCCGGAAUUGACGUCCGACGACUGCCCUACAAACGCCUAGAAACGAAACAUAGUCUUGUUAAAAACAUAAUUGAAUCUUGGAACAAGAGUCAACAAUGGAAGGAAAAGGCAAUGGGCAAUUAACCCUCGUCAGUGUUGGAAGGUAUGAGGAUAUAUCUAGUAAAGCUAGUGUUAAUGUAUUUACCAACUGAAAACACCAGAACGGAAUCCUUUCUCGUUUCGUUUCCAGUGCCUUACACUUAAUGUGAGCAAGUUACUGUAUAUUCACCUCCAACGACCCCUGACUACAAUAUUUUUAAUCUCCUCUGGCGAUGGCGAGCUGAAAUGCACAAAAAUUGACCCGUUUGGGUGCCCAAACAGGACUUUUCAUGUCGCGUCCAAUAGUUUAGUCGAGUAUAGCUGCUUUAUACGCCUACAGCUGGCUGCUAUGGGAGUGAUAUGCACGAAAACGGGGGACAAUCUCGUCACUUUAGGCGGGAGAUCAGGCACGAUAUAACAAUUGAAUUUCGCCCAUAAUGUACUAUAAUCUGGUCCAUACUCCCUACAACAGCACCUAACCCCCAGUUUCUGCCUGCCAUAUGCUUAUUUCAAUGUUAUGGCCACUAAUGCAAAAAUGUUUAUAUACCAUGUACUUAUCCUGCAUUGUCUUGUACUGUAAGUCACGCUUGUUUGUUUUUUUUGCUCAUUUGUUUAUAUACAUUGCAGGUGCCGUGAACCCUUGUGGCGCCUUAUAAAUAAAGGAUGAUAAUAAUAACAAUAA
Long non-coding RNA from Pseudophryne corroboree (corroboree frog), 1047 nucleotides. RefSeq lists it as uncharacterized. The transcript has 3 exons. NCBI's taxonomy places the organism in Eukaryota, Metazoa, Chordata, Amphibia, Anura, Myobatrachidae. The record is from RefSeq and is a predicted model, not a curated record.